GAUGAACGCUGGCGGCGUGCCUAAUAUAUGCAAGUCGAGCGAACGGACGAGGCGCUUGCUUCUCUCAUGUUAGCGGCGGACGGGUGAGUAACAUGUGGAUAAUCCCCCUAUAAGACUGGGAUAACUUCGGGAAACCGGCGCUAAUCCCGGAUUAUAUUUUGAACCGUAUUGUUCAAAAGUGAAAGACGGUCUUUCUGUCUCUUAUAGAUGGAUCCGCGCUGCAUUAGCUAGUUGGUAAGGUAACGGCUUACCAAGGCAACGAUGCAUAGCCGACCUGAGAGGGUGAUCGGCCACACUGGAACUGAGACACGGUCCAGACUCCUACGGGAGGCAGCAGUAGGGAAUCUUCCGCAAUGGGCGAAAGCCUGACGGAGCAACGCCGCGUGAGUGAUGAAGGUCUUCGGAUCGUAAAACUCUGUUAUUAGGGAAGAACAUAUGUGUAAGUAACUGUGCACGUCUUGACGGUACCUAAUCAGAAAGCCACGGCUAACUACGUG
RNAcentral lists this ribosomal RNA (497 nucleotides) under uncultured bacterium. RNAcentral's name for it is "partial 16S ribosomal RNA". It matches the Rfam family "Bacterial small subunit ribosomal RNA", at positions 28 to 507 of the family's 1533-position model. The record is from RNAcentral.